Long non-coding RNA from Raphanus sativus (radish), 1260 nucleotides. RefSeq lists it as uncharacterized. Lineage: Eukaryota; Viridiplantae; Streptophyta; Magnoliopsida; Brassicales; Brassicaceae. The transcript is spliced from 4 exons. The record is from RefSeq and is a predicted model, not a curated record.
AUGGUAGAUUUUAAUUAUGAGAUUUUAAGGUAAUUGCUUCUCUCAUUCAAGUAGCCUAUCCAUCUCUUCUAAGAUGUCUGUCCUUAUUUAUUCCCCAGGUCCUACGUCACUUUUGAUUAUCUUCGCCUUGAUCCGUUUUCUUUGAAUAUUAUUGUCUGUCUUCUCCGAUUCGAGGAUUCACGUAACAUCAAGAAGAACGGUGUGAGGAUAUCACUCUCCUGCUUCUAGAUGAGAAGCUUGAGAGUUGAAGAAAUAGAGGCUUUCCCACGUGUUGAGACAAUGGGAGUAAUUCAGCAGAAAUAUCAGGUCUUAAUUGCAGACCUUCAGACGUAUCUCUCAAAGUCAAACUACCAUGUUUCCAUAACUCUAUUAUCCUAUCAUGUGAAAACUAUUUACAAAUUAAACUAUUCCCAGCUAAUGUUCUCUCCAUUGUCUCCGUAGAGACUCAUGCAGUUGCUUUUACAUGUUGAAUCAUGUCAUGAUGGAGUAGAUGUCGGAUGGUCAAAUUUAUCGGAUAUGAACGUUCACGAGGGAAAGCUUCUUGGUUGCUCAUAUAAUCCAAAUUGUGUAGACCUCUCGCGUACUGAGUCUAUGAGUGGAGGUGCCACUCAGAACGGUCCUAAUCAGUGAGCAAGCAGUUGAAUCCAGAGCCGAACGUGUCGUUAUUGGAAGAACUAUGCCAUAUUCGUUGCAGUCCAAGGCGGCUAAUUCUCGGAGGCUGUCUAGCAUCAGAAAUGAGCCGGAUCUACUAACUGAUUCGCUUCUUGAAAGAUCUCAGUCUCAGCCGACAGAACCAAGCAAUUUAGAAGACGGAAUUACAUUUAUAAGCUCUGAUCGUCCGUGCGUUGCAAGUGGUCCUUCAUUUCUUACACCGGUUGCAGCAGGAAGUUGAACAAAUUGGGGGCAACCAAUGAGGUACUGCAGGAAGAAUCAGAUGGAAAUACACAUCUACGGAAGAUGUCAAAUGCAGUAACAACUUUGAAUUAUGAGUUUCGUACCAUUGGGGGAUGGGCCAUUACACUGUACUAUUUUUACAGCCCAAACAAUAAAAAGACCAAGAAGAAAGUCCACACACGAACAGCAAAUUAGAAGUCAAUUCCUACUCUCUCCGGAAACAAAACAAAGAAUAAAAUUCCUGGACACUGUAUUUUGCAACGACCGUCUAUCUUUGCAAACAAAAAAAAUCUGAAUUGAUCCACUGUAUGGCAAAAGCACAACAAAGUAUUAUUUUCGUGACUAAUGACACCUCUUACAUCUCAA